Small nuclear RNA from Molossus molossus (Pallas's mastiff bat), 193 nucleotides. RefSeq annotates it as U2 spliceosomal RNA. The transcript has a single exon. The record is from RefSeq and is a predicted model, not a curated record. NCBI's taxonomy places the organism in Eukaryota, Metazoa, Chordata, Mammalia, Chiroptera, Molossidae.
AUCACUCCUCAGCCUUUUGGCUAAGAUCGAGUGCAGAGGUCUACUUUUAUCAGUUUAACAUCUGUUAUAUCCUCCAUCCGAGGACAAUACAGCAAACAGAUGUCUGCAGCAGGGAGAUGGACUAGGAGCUGCUCUGUCUGCACUGCACAUCAACUGGAUAUUGCAGUAGAUCUCCGGGAACAGUGCAGGAAAA